Molecule: ribosomal RNA, 119 nt
Filed under: Pustulibacterium marinum
Lineage: Bacteria; Pseudomonadati; Bacteroidota; Flavobacteriia; Flavobacteriales; Flavobacteriaceae
Description: 16S rRNA. Bacterial SSU
Rfam family: Bacterial small subunit ribosomal RNA
Source: RNAcentral
UAACGAUGAAGAGUUUGAUCCUGGCUCAGGAUGAACGCUAGCGGCAGGCCUAACACAUGCAAGUCGAGGGGUAGAAAUAGCUUGCUAUUUUGAGACCGGCGCACGGGUGCGUAACGCGU